UUUGUGAAGUGCCUAGAAUAGUCAAAAUUCACAGAGACAGAAGCAGUGGUCGCCAGGAAUGGGGAAGCAAGGCGGAGUUGGGCAGCUCGUGUUCAAUGGUUUUGUCCGCCUUCCCUGCCUCCUCUUCUGGGGGAGUUAGAUCGAGUUGUAACAAGAACAUGCCACUGUCUCGCUGGCUGCAGCGUGUGGUCCCCUUACCAGAGUGAGGAUGCGAAGAGAAGGUGGCUGUCUGCAAACCAGGA
This 242-nucleotide long non-coding RNA is filed under the name Homo sapiens (human). RNAcentral describes it as "HSALNT0350758". Lineage: Eukaryota; Metazoa; Chordata; Mammalia; Primates; Hominidae. The record is from RNAcentral.